Molecule: ribosomal RNA, 253 nt
Filed under: uncultured bacterium
Lineage: Bacteria
Description: partial 16S ribosomal RNA
Rfam family: Bacterial small subunit ribosomal RNA
Source: RNAcentral
UACGUAGGGUGCGAGCGUUGUCCGGCAUUAUUGGGCGUAAAGCGCGUGUAGGCGGCUUUGCAAGUCGGGUGUGAAAUCCCCAGGCUUAACCUGGGAACUGCAUUCGAGACUGCAUUGCUAGAGUAUGGGAGAGGGAAGUGGAAUUUCCGGUGUAGCGGUGAAAUGCGUAGAUAUCGGAAGGAACAUCAGUGGCGAAAGCGACUUCCUGGACCAAUACUGACGCUCAUGUGCGAAAGCGUGGGGAGCAAACAGG